Molecule: transfer-messenger RNA, 364 nt
Filed under: Coriobacteriia bacterium
Lineage: Bacteria; Bacillati; Actinomycetota; Coriobacteriia
Rfam family: transfer-messenger RNA
About the family: Bacterial tmRNA, also known as 10Sa RNA or SsrA, is named for its dual tRNA and mRNA-like properties. Its role is to liberate the mRNA from a stalled ribosome.
Source: RNAcentral
GGGGGCGACUUGGUUUCGACAUGGCAGGUUCAAGAUGGGGAGCAGGUCGUGGUCUCCUCGCCACGUUAAACAGGGGUACCGUCAAAUUUAAUUGACAAGAACACUUCUGGGCAGCUUGCCCUCGCCGCUUAAUUAAAUCGCGGCCGUCAAAGCGGAGGUUGGCUCCUGGCCCCGUGGCGACGUCACCUACGGGAGAUGCAUCCAGGCACGUGACCGGUAUGGCUUGGAUAAAGAUUGAACCGGCAGGGAACCGCAACGCCAGUCGCUUGGCCGAGCGCGCCCGACAUCUGAAAAGCGACUAAGCCUGUAGCGCCCUGUGGCGAAUCUGGUAUGGACGAGGGUUCAAUUCCCUCCGCCUCCACCA